Long non-coding RNA from Pleuronectes platessa (European plaice), 867 nucleotides. RefSeq lists it as uncharacterized. The record is from RefSeq and is a predicted model, not a curated record. The transcript has 3 exons. NCBI's taxonomy places the organism in Eukaryota, Metazoa, Chordata, Actinopteri, Pleuronectiformes, Pleuronectidae.
AUUUCCUGGUGCCCAGGGAACUUAUGCGAUUACUCUCUCUCAUCCGGUGAAGAUAACGCACGUGACAGUGGACCACGUCUCGCGCUACAGCUCACCCACUGGCAGCAUCAACUCCGCGCCCAGAGCCUUUGAACUCUAUGGAAUGACAGACAUCUCAGAAAAGAGAACUCUUCUUGGAACAUUCACCUACAAUAAGGGUGGCGAGUCCACGCAGACAUUUCAGCUGCUUAACCCAACUGACGACAUCUAUCGUGGUGUGGAGAUGCAUGUCCUCAGUAACUGGGGACAAGCUGAAUAUACAUGUCUUUACCGCCUUCGUGUGCAUGGGAAGAUCGCCUCCACAUGAGUUCUAAUGGACUGUCUUUCUCAGUACCUCUCUCUGUCUUUUUUUUCUAUUCAAAUCCUUUGUAAAAAAAAUAAUGUUUUAACGCCCUAAGUUUUUCUUUUAAUUCAUAAAUUUGGUUCAACUUUCUACUUCCACUAAUUUGAACUUUCAGUUAUACAAUUAUUUUCUAACUAUUCUACUUUUUGAAUAGAGAACGAGAUGGUGAAUAUCCCACGUACAUUUGAGGGUUAGUGCUAGGGUAUGCUUAGGCUAAGGGUACAUCUGACUGGCUACUGGCUUGUAUGGCAGCACUAUGAAAGCCAUGUGGCCUGCUCAGUGGACCAGUCAUCAUUACCUCUAUGCCCUUUUAAACUUAAAACUGAAUGUUCCCUGUGAUUUCUGAUGCACUAAUAAUGCCUACCAUCAGUUUAUGCUUCGGAUGUAAGCGGAUGUUAGGGACAUGUCUUCAGUUGUGUACUUGUACCUAAUUCAGUUCAUAUUCAGCUGUAUAAAAUGCAUUUCAUAGAUGCAUGUGAACCAUA